AAGGGUAUAGCUCAGUGGUAGAGCGUGUGCUUAGCAUGCACACGGUCCUGGGUUCAAUCCCCAGUACCUCCA
This 72-nucleotide transfer RNA is filed under the name Camelus bactrianus (Bactrian camel). It matches the Rfam family "tRNA". Rfam says of the family: Transfer RNA (tRNA) molecules are approximately 80 nucleotides in length. Their secondary structure includes four short double-helical elements and three loops (D, anti-codon, and T loops). The record is from Rfam by way of RNAcentral. Lineage: Eukaryota; Metazoa; Chordata; Mammalia; Artiodactyla; Camelidae. RNAcentral also lists the same sequence under 2 other names.